Molecule: long non-coding RNA, 1018 nt
Organism: Motacilla alba alba
Lineage: Eukaryota; Metazoa; Chordata; Aves; Passeriformes; Motacillidae
Exons: 3
Source: RefSeq, a predicted model, not a curated record
ACUAUUUUUAAUUUUUAUUAUUAGAUUAGCCAAUUCCUUGAUUUAAGCUAGAUUUGAAAAUGUUAUUUUUAAAUUUUAUUAAAAUGCCUGAAGUCAAUUAUAAAAUUUGAUAAAAUCUGGAAUAAUUUUUGACUAGAAAGGCCCUUCCUGUCUCCCCCAGAUGUUACAACUACAGAGUGAUCAAAACCUCUGGCACAUCAUUCCAAGUUGAGAAUAAAACUUUUGGACUGGCUUUAGUGUUCUCCAAAUUAUGUUGGCCUUGGGAACAUGCAACAAGAACCCUCUUGACUUGUUUUGGACUUAAACACUUAGGAACUCAACUAUUUUAAAAGCUUCUGGAAUGGUAAUGCUGGGAGUCCAGAUAGCAGAAAAAUUCAAGGGGCAGGAGAAAUUAUAGUGUCCUUCACUGGGAAACACACACGCCAUGUGCUGAUGUUGGGGUUGAUGUCAAUUCUAACACUGACAAUGCAUUCCCAAGGUUUUUGCUGCACCCACCAGAAGAGCAGGACCCAGACCAGUUUUUGAUCAGUAGGCUGCAAAUAAGACAUCCAGGGAAGGAAUGUUUUGGUCUUUUAGUGAGUGACUAAAAGGAACAAGACCAAAUCUGCUGUCAAUGCAGCCAAGGGAAACUGGGUGCAAGAACUGGGUGCAAACUGGGUUUGCCUAUUUUAACCACACAGGCUCUUGGAGUGGCAGCUUCCCCCACAAACUCUUCCCUGGGACACCCCAGGAACAGCUCACCCCACAGGAUCCAGAGAAACACUUCAAGCCUGGUCAUCCUAGGGGCCGAAAACUUGUAAUUCCAUCAAGUUUUACGGCGUGAACUUGAACAGGAAUCCUGUCCUCCAGGACCUUCACAAAGUUGCUCUGCAUGCUCCAAGAUCAACAGAUGGGAUCCACAUCCUAUUACAAAUUUCCAAAUUUGUCUGUGGAACUUGUGUGGGCAAGAUCCAUCACUUAGGAGGAGGUGAGAGAUCAUGAAAACAGCUCCCACCAGGAGAAAAUAAAUAAAAGACAA